GGCAAGAUCGGGUGUACCGUGGGC
Molecule: non-coding RNA, 24 nt
Filed under: Arabidopsis thaliana (thale cress)
Lineage: Eukaryota; Viridiplantae; Streptophyta; Magnoliopsida; Brassicales; Brassicaceae
Source: RNAcentral